CACUGCCGAGAAAAGCCUCUAGAUAGAAAAUAGGUGCCCGUACCGCAAACCGACACAGGUAGUCAAGAUGAGAAUUCUAAGGUGAGCGAGCGAACUCUCGUUAAGGAACUCGGCAAAAUGACCCCGUAACUUCGGGAGAAGGGGUGCUCUUUAGGGUUAACGCCCAGAAGAGCCGCAGUGAAUAGGCCCAAGCGACUGUUUAUCAAAAACACAGGUCUCUGCUAAACCGUAAGGUGAUGUAUAGGGGCUGACGCCUGCCCGGUGCUGGAAGGUUAAGAGGAGUGGUUAGCUUCUGCGAAGCUACGAAUCGAAGCCCCAGUAAACGGCGGCCGUAACUAUAACGGUCCUAAGGUAGCGAAAUUCCUUGUCGGGUAAGUUCCGACCCGCACGAAAGGCGUAACGAUUUGGGCACUGUCUCAACGAGAGACUCGGUGAAAUCAUAGUACCUGUGAAGAUGCAGGUUACCCGCGACAGGACGGAAAGACCCCGUGGAGCUUUACUGUAGCCUGAUAUUGAAAUUCGGCACAGCUUGUACAGGAUAGGUAGGAGCCUUUGAAACGUGAGCGCUAGCUUACGUGGAGGCGCUGGUGGGAUACUACCCUAGCUGUGUUGGCUUUCUAACCCGCACCACUUAUCGUGGUGGGAGACAGUGUCAGGCGGGCAGUUUGACUGGGGCGGUCGCCUCCUAAAAGGUAACGGAGGCGCUCAAAGGUUCCCUCAGAAUGGUUGGAAAUCAUUCAUAGAGUGUAAAGGCAUAAGGGAGCUUGACUGCGAGACCUACAAGUCGAGCAGGGUCGAAAGACGGACUUAGUGAUCC
Molecule: ribosomal RNA, 817 nt
Filed under: Staphylococcus aureus
Lineage: Bacteria; Bacillati; Bacillota; Bacilli; Caryophanales; Staphylococcaceae
Description: partial 23S ribosomal RNA
Rfam family: Bacterial large subunit ribosomal RNA
Source: RNAcentral